UGCAGUCGGACGGGAUUGAGGAGCUUGCUUCUCACGAGAGUGGCGCACGGAUGCGUAACACGUAUGUAACCUACCUUGUUCAGGGGGAUAGCCUCUCGAAAGAGAGAUUAACACCGCAUAAAAUCAAUUUAUGGCAUCAUAGAAUGAUCAAAUAUUUAUAGGAACAAGAUGGGCAUGCGGAACAUUAGCUAGUUGGUAAGGUAACGGCUUACCAAGGCUACGAUGUUUAGGGGAUCUGAGAGGAUGACCCCCCACACUGGUACUGAGACACGGACCAGACUCCUACGGGAGGCAGCAGUAAGGAAUAUUGGUCAAUGGACGCAAGUCUGAACCAGCCAUGCCGCGUGCAGGAAGACGGCCCUACGGGUUGUAAACUGCUUUUGUACCGGAAUAAACCUUUUCACGUGUGAGAAGCUGAAUGUACGGUAAGAAUAAGGAUCGGCUAACUCCGUGCCAGCAGCCGCGGUAAUACGGAGGAUCCAAGCGUUAUCCGGAUUUAUUGGGUUUAAAGGGUGCGUAGGUGGCCUAUUAAGUCAGGGGUGAAAGACGGUAGCUUAACUAUCGCAGUGCCUUUGAUGCUGAUGGGCUUGAAUACACUUGAGGUAGGCGGAAUGUGACAAGUAGCGGUGAAAUGCAUAGAUAUGUCACAGAACACCAAUUGCGAAGGCAGCUUACUAAAGUGUUAUUGACACUGAGGCACGAAAGCGUGGGGAUCAAACAGGAUUAGAUACCCUGGUAGUCCACGCCCUAAACGAUGAAUACUCGAUGUUGGCGAUAUACGGUCAGCGUCUAAGCGAAAGCGUUAAGUAUUCCACCUGGGGAGUACGCCCGCAAGGGUGAAACUCAAA
RNAcentral lists this ribosomal RNA (848 nucleotides) under uncultured bacterium. Its description in RNAcentral is "bacterial SSU rRNA". It matches the Rfam family "Bacterial small subunit ribosomal RNA", at positions 56 to 905 of the family's 1533-position model. The record is from RNAcentral.